Long non-coding RNA from Camelina sativa (false flax), 998 nucleotides. RefSeq lists it as uncharacterized. Lineage: Eukaryota; Viridiplantae; Streptophyta; Magnoliopsida; Brassicales; Brassicaceae. The record is from RefSeq and is a predicted model, not a curated record.
GGUUCAAAGGAGUGUGUUCUUCUUCUUCUUCAUCUUCUUCUUCUACUGAAUGAAAGCAAAGUGACGGCUUCGUUUGAAACGGCAUCGUUUUACUUGGAAUAAGUUUUUUUUAAUUCGGCGUUUACUUGGAUAAGUUUUUAAUUCAGGCACGUUCGUAAAACGGUUUAAAAGCCCGUUAACGCAUUUUGUUAUUUUCUCUGCGGGUUUGAUCGAUCAAAAGAAUCGAACCAAGGGGGGACGAAGUAACAAAGGAGGUAAUCAAAACCAUUGGGAUUAGAAGACAAUUACGAAAAAAAGAAAUUUUUUUUUUUGGUUCCGCUCCAUUGCUAUCAUCAUCAUCUUCAACCUUCAAAAAUUCUUCUUCUCCCUUCUUCAACAUCACAAAAAACCUAACCUCCGAUUUCUUCAGAUUCCUCCUCAAUUUAGAGCUAAUUAAGUUCCCAACAUCAUGAGUAAUCAAAGGAAGAGAAAUUUCCAGAUUGAAGCGUUUAAGCAACGAGUCGUGGUUGAUCCAAAAUACGCAAAUAAGACUUGGAAGAUCCUCGAACAUGCGAUUCAUGAGAUUUACAAUCACAACGCUAGUGGAUUCAGUUUCGAAGAGCUUUACAGGAAACGCUUACAACAUAGUUCUACAUAAAUUUGGGGAAAAGCUUUAUACUGGACUUGUUACCACUAUGACGUUUCAUCUCAAAGAGAUUUGUAAUUCUAUUGAAGAAGAUCAAGGAGGUGCUUUUUUAGAAUUGCUUAAUAGGAAAUGGAAUGAUCACAACAAAGCUUUGCAGAUGAUUAGGGAUAUUCUCAUGUAUAUGGAUCGGACUUACGUUCCCGGUUGUAAAAAGACUCAUGUUCAUGAGCUUGGACUUCAUCUUUGGAGGGAUAGUGUUGUGCAUUCCAACAAGAUUCAUAUAUAUAUAUAUAUAUAUAUAUAUAUAUAUGAUUAUGGAUUUAAAAAAGAAGAAGCGAUUUUUCCAUUAUAACAAGCACGAUUGGUCAUAAUU